GUUGUAGGUGGGGUAACGGCCCACCUAGCCUUUGAUCCGUACCGGACAUGAAAGUGUGUGCCGGGAGAUGGCCACUGAGACGACGGGCCAGGCCCUACGGGGUGCAGCAGGCGCGAAAACUCUACAAUGCCCGCAAGGGUGAUAGGGGAAUCCCGAGUGCUUCCUUAGCCGGAAGCUUUUCCCGAGUGUAAUGUUCUCAGGGAAUAAGGGGAGGGCAAGGCUGGUGCCAGCCGCCGCGGUAAAACCAGCUCCCCGAGUGGUCAGGAUGAUUAUUGGGCCUAAAGCGUCCGUAGCCGGUCGUGUUAGUCGUUGGUGAAAGGUCGGGUCUUAAGCCCGAAUUUGCUAGCGAUACUGCGCGACUCGGGACCGGAAGAGGCAAAUGGUACGUUGAGGGUAGGGGUGAAAUCCUGUAAUCCCCAACGGACCACCGGUGGCGAAGGUAUUUGCUGGGACGGAUCCGACGGUGAGGGACGAAACCCAGGGGAGCGAGCGGGAUUAGAUACCCCGGUAGUCCUGGGUGUAAACGAUGCGCACUAGGUGUUGACGAAGCUACGAGCUUCGUCGGUGCCGAAGCGAAGGCGUUAAGUGCGCCGCCUGGGGAGUACGGUCGCAAGACUGAAACUUAAAGGAAUUGACGGGGGAGCACCACCAGGGGAGGAGCCUGCGGUUCAAUUGGACCCAACGCCGGAAAACUUACCGGAGUCGACAGCAUGAUGAUGGCCAGGCUGAAGACCUUGCUUGAAGCGCUGAGAGGAGGUGCAUGGCCGUCGCCAGCUCGUACCGUGAGGCGUCCUCUUAAGUGAGGCAACGAGCGAGACCUUCAUCCACAGUUGCCAGCACAAGAUGGUAUCUUGGUGGGCACACUGCGGAGACUGCCCGCGAAAAGUGGGAGGAAGGUGAAGGCCACGGCAGGUCAGUAUGCCCCGAAAGCUCCGGGCCACACGCGGGCUACAAUGGCUGGGACAGAAGGCCCCAACCUUGAAAGAGGAAGGAAAUCCUUAAACCCAGUCUCAGUUGGGACUGAGGGCUGCAACCCGCCCUCACGAACGUGGAUUCCCUAGUAAUCGCGUGUCAUCUAUCGCGCGAUGAAUACGUCCCUGCUCCUUGUACACACCGCCCGUCGUUGCACUCGAGUUGGGUUUGCCUGAGGCUGCAUUUUCCUUCGGGAAGGCGUAGACGAAGGUGAGUUCGAUAAGAGGGCAAAAGUCGUAACAAGGUA
This 1219-nucleotide ribosomal RNA is filed under the name metagenome. Its description in RNAcentral is "bacterial SSU rRNA". It matches the Rfam family "Archaeal small subunit ribosomal RNA", at positions 229 to 1445 of the family's 1478-position model. The record is from RNAcentral.